UGUUCGAGCGUCAUUUCAACCCUCAAGCACAGCUUGGUAUUGAGCCCACGUCAGCGAUGGCCGGCUCUAAAAUCAGUGGCGGCGCCGCUGGGUCCUGAACGUAGUAAUAUCUCUCGUUACAGGUGCUCGGUGUGCUCCCGCCAAAACCUCAAUUUUCUAUGGUUGACCUCGGAUCAGGUAGGGAUACCCGCUGAACUUAA
Molecule: unclassified non-coding RNA, 200 nt
Filed under: soil metagenome
Description: partial contains internal transcribed spacer 2 and large subunit ribosomal RNA
Source: RNAcentral